Molecule: ribosomal RNA, 433 nt
Filed under: uncultured bacterium
Lineage: Bacteria
Description: partial 16S ribosomal RNA
Rfam family: Bacterial small subunit ribosomal RNA
Source: RNAcentral
AACGAACGCUGGCGGCAUGCCUAACACAUGCAAGUCGAACGAAGUCUUCGGACUUAGUGGCGCACGGGUGCGUAACGCGUGGGAAUCUGCCCUUGGGUACGGAAUAACUCAGAGAAAUUUGUGCUAAUACCGUAUAAUGUCUUCGGACCAAAGAUUUAUCGCCCAAGGAUGAGCCCGCGUAAGAUUAGCUAGUUGGUGGGGUAAAAGCCUACCAAGGCGACGAUCUUUAGCUGGUCUGAGAGGAUGAUCAGCCACACUGGGACUGAGACACGGCCCAGACUCCUACGGGAGGCAGCAGAGGGGAAUAUUGGACAAUGGGCGAAAGCAUGAUCCAGCAAUGCCGCGUGAGUGAUGAAGGCCCGAGGGUUGUAAAGCUCUUUUACCAGGGAUGAUAAUGACAGUACCUGGAGAAUAAGCUCCGGCUAACUCCGUG